This 61-nucleotide transfer RNA is filed under the name Pseudacysta perseae. Its description in RNAcentral is "tRNA-Arg". The record is from RNAcentral. Lineage: Eukaryota; Metazoa; Arthropoda; Insecta; Hemiptera; Tingidae.
AGUAUUGAAGUAAAAUUACACUUAGUUUCGACCUAAAAUUAGAGAAUAUUUCUCCUUACUU